Long non-coding RNA from Antechinus flavipes (yellow-footed antechinus), 2191 nucleotides. RefSeq lists it as uncharacterized. The transcript is spliced from 2 exons. Lineage: Eukaryota; Metazoa; Chordata; Mammalia; Dasyuromorphia; Dasyuridae. The record is from RefSeq and is a predicted model, not a curated record.
GUUAGAAGAAUAUGUUAAACCUAUAUUGGAUUGCCUAAGGAGGGGAGAAAAGGGAGAAAGAGGAAGAAAAAUUUGGAACAAAAAGUUUUUCAUAGGUGAAUGCUGAAAACUAUGCAUGUAUUUGGAAAAAUAAAAUACUAUUACAAAUUUUUGAAUUUUUUAAAAAAGAUCAAUGUUAUAAAAAAUCUCAAUGAAAGAUUAUCAUCCAAGGAAAAAAGAAAAGUCAAUGGCAUCAAAUGUUGCAAAGAGUCAAAAAGAAUAAAGAUUAUGAAGUGGUCAUUGAAUUGUGAGCUGAAAUAUCAUUGGUAACAUUGGGGUAGGGGGGAAACAGUUUCAGAUAAGCAGUGGGGUCAGCAGCUAGAUUGCAGUGCUUUUGUAGAAGAAAGGGAGACAAUCGGUGUAAAUGGAUUUUCUAAAACAUUGGCUGAAAAAAGAGAAGAGAGUCGUAGCACAAGAGUUAGCAGCAAUGGUAAAGUGUAGUGAGGGUUUAUUUUAUCUUUUUAAAAAUGGAAAAGUCUUGGGCAAGUUUAUAAGGCAGAUGGUUCUGGAUGGAACUGGUAGAUAUGGAGAUGGAAGAUUAGAAAGAGGCUGAUUGAUGAUGAUUUGAUUAAUUCAUCCACAUGCUGACAGAUCACUUUAUCAAUAAGUGACCUCCAGACUCAGACAUAGCUACCAACCACCCUCUGAUGAUUGCUCUGAAUUCGGUUAGCCAAAGUAGCAGAUGAUGCUGUUGAUGUGAAUGUUUAGGUAAACAGGAUGUAUUAACUUAAAUUAGAAUUUGGCUGAGACACUGGGUAACUCCAGUUCAGAGACCAGAAAUAGACACAAGAACAGCAUGGUGGAACUCAGAGAGACACAUUAAAGGGACAGCAUUUCAAUUUGUAGAUCUUAUAGCUUGGACAAGUUGUAAGAGCCUUUUUUAUGGGGAGGUGGGGAGAAGGUUCAUUCAAGGUUGUGUUGCCUUAUUCUCAUCCAUUCCCCCUAACUCAAUGUGGACAAAUGUGAAGGAUCUCCCAGCCAUGAUCCAGGAGUACUGUCAGUCUGCUGAGCUCAUUCCUCCCUAGCUAUUUAAGAUGUUCUGCCUAAAUGAACCUUGUGUCGAAAUGAGGGAUUAGCUAAUUCUUGCAGCUCCAGUCGAGCCAAUUUAGAAUGCUUCCUGUGGGGAUUGUGAAACCCUGAGAUGACAGAGUACAAGUUCCUCAUCGCUGGCUGGAUUUCCCCUCCUCCACUUCUUCCAUCUGGUUAUAAGAAGAAUGUUUAUGAAAGUUGAAAGAAUUGGGAAUUUCCCAACCACCAUGCCCCAUUUCCCAUCAUCUUCUUUCUCUUCUCAUUUUAUUCUCCCUCAAAGGCCAGGCUGGUUAAAAGAACAGGUGCAAAGCCCUUGGGAACCCAGAGACACGGAGAAAAAAGUGACCAGGAGCUGUGAUUCCAGCCUGGGUGUUUCUGAGAAUAACCGACAUUUCUCCCACAGACAGAUGUCCUUGUUCUUCAACAUUCCAGACAUCUCGACAUCUUUAUGGCCACAAGUUUUAAGAAUACACAUGCCUCGAUUCCAAAGCCUGAUUUUUCAUUCUCAACUUGAGGCUUCUGACACAACAGUAUGAAUGAUUAAUCAAAUCAAUUUGUGCCCAUAUAUUAAGUCUUGAAUGACUGCCACUAAUUUCAGUUGUUUAUUUUUCCUAACCUUCUGCUUCCUUCGAUAGUAGCAAAUCCAUUGUCAGGCACUUAAUUAGAACUCCCUGAAAGACUCUGAAACAUGGUUUGAAAUACACUUAGAUCAAAAGCAUCAUUUUAUUUCUUGAAGCAUACUCUUUUUGUCAUAUACCUAAAGCUGUCUCCCACCUCCAUACUUUUGAAAGACUGCCCUCAUAUUCCUAAUAUGUCUUCUUCUCCUUCCUCUGUGUUUCUUGGAUUCUCUAGCUUCCUUCAGGGUUUAGCUUGGGUUCCACCAUCUAAACCAGCCUUUUUCUCAUUUUUUUCCACUUAUUAGAUUUCUAGCUACAGAAAUUAUAUUUACUUAUAUGUAUGUUGUAUUUAAAUUAAAUUAAAAAUAAAUUGUAUUUACUUAUAUAUUAUAUUGAUGUACCACCCCAGCCCCUGUACGUUCCUUGAGGACAGGCAUUCAUUUUUACAUUUAUAUUUUUGUAAUAUUUAAUAAAUGUUUAUUGCCUGCUUGACUAACUUCCCAUAA